This 208-nucleotide long non-coding RNA is filed under the name Elaeis guineensis (African oil palm). RNAcentral's name for it is "long non-coding RNA (EGUI_LNC004509)". Lineage: Eukaryota; Viridiplantae; Streptophyta; Magnoliopsida; Arecales; Arecaceae. The record is from RNAcentral.
GUCAAGGCAUAUUGGGCUGGAUCAUUUUAGUGUUAUCCUAUAUAUUGAGUUUAAAAAAUCAAUAAUCAAGAUUGGAUUAAAAUACAAAGUUCCUUUAUUUUUUUCGAAACCAAUUUGAAUAUAUUGUUAGUUUAACUAGGAGUUGAUUUAGAGUUGGACAGAUAUUGGAAAAAUUAAAAUAAAAUAAUUUUGGAUAUCAUGUUCAUAU